CCCCUCUUCUUCCCCCUUUUCAACUCUACGACCUAGAAAUCAAAUUUCCAUCGACGCCUCCCUUCCCUCGCCGUUUGGUCUCCAUCGCCGUCUCCGUCGACACUCAUCACCUCUCGUCGACACCUCCUUCCCCCCUCUCUCCCUUUCUUCCCGUCGCCAUCUGGUGUCCAUCAGUUCCUGCUACUGCUUCUCUAUUCCCUACAAACCAAAACCCUUCGCUCCAUCGCCCCCACUUCUCUCCAUCGGCAGCAACGACGGCUUCCCUCUCCGUUCUCGCGCCUUCAAAACCCUAGCUUUCUCCUCCAGUCUCUCGACCCCUUCAUUCCCAACGGGUGAUGCUUUGAUUCUCAUCAAGAUUCGACCUUUUUCGGUUGAUUUGAUUGGUUUUGGUUCGAUUCUGAAGGGAUUGAAUCAUUCAAGUCGUCGACUGCGCCGAGCGCCCGUAGGUUCGUCGUAUGUGAGGUUGCACCGGCGAAGAAGGCGGAUUCGGCAACGAAGAGAGCUCGGCAAGCGGAGAAGAGGAGGAUUUAUAACAAGGCGAGGAAAUCCGAGAUCAAUACUCGAAUGGAGAAGCGAGGACUACUACACAUUCCCGUCCUUCAGUUUUGUCUGGGAACUAACUGAGAAGAUGAAAUAACAUUUCAGAGUGGUAAGAAGGAUGCUAACGGCCUGUUCGGCAAACUCCCAAAAUGAAAAGCCAGUUGCUGAAGGAUAUCAACGUGAUCCUCAAGCUAUAUUCCCCGGAUGCUAGAUGCAAAUUUUGUGUGUGUAAAAAUAUAUGUUUGGAAAUUGAUUUGUAAAAUAUUAUUCUCAGUUUGUUACACUAAAAGUAUUGUUCUCAGUUUGUUACACUGAAAGUAGAUAAUGAAAGUUAUUCUCAGUUUGUGUUA
This is a long non-coding RNA of Asparagus officinalis (garden asparagus), 890 nucleotides long. RefSeq lists it as uncharacterized. The record is from RefSeq and is a predicted model, not a curated record. The transcript is spliced from 3 exons. NCBI's taxonomy places the organism in Eukaryota, Viridiplantae, Streptophyta, Magnoliopsida, Asparagales, Asparagaceae.